UGCAUUGCUUUUUUUAUCGAAUCCAAACAAUUAGUUGAUUAAACAUCGAUUGAAAAUUUGUACAAAACAAAAUACACUUUUAAUGGAAAGGCUUUUAUACAACAAACUUAAUGCCAACAAUUCCCCGCCUCUUGUGACAUCUCAAACUAAUUCACGUGCCUCACUUACACGAUCAAGAGUCAGCCGGAGUCGAGAGCUAUUAGUCUUCACACUGGUCUGAGAGAAAAAUGGCAUCACUCUGAACUACGGCACCAAAAACAAGCAUUUGAGCCCCAGAGAGCUGACACUUUCAAGCCCUCCGGCAAAGCCUCUGGACUGAUAUG
Molecule: long non-coding RNA, 323 nt
Organism: Carassius gibelio (silver crucian carp)
Lineage: Eukaryota; Metazoa; Chordata; Actinopteri; Cypriniformes; Cyprinidae
Exons: 3
Source: RefSeq, a predicted model, not a curated record